ACCGGAAGUCCCUCCUCUUCCGCCCGAUGCAGCAAGACGGUCGUUCGCAAAUAUGUCGUGCUCCUUGUCAGCCGAAAGAAGACUUCUUGGGGAGCCGUCCUAGAAGGAUCUCAUGAUGCUGCAGCAGACCAGGGAUGAGUCAGAUGCCUUCUCGUUGAGCUUGAGAUCUGUCACUGUGACGUAUCAGGGAUGUGAGAGUCAGAAGUCUUCUUUUUGCUGAGCUUGAGGUUUCUCUGCCAUGCUGUACACCAAAUAUGCGAGAAGAAGGCUUGUUUGCUGAUCUCAGCCUCUGAUCUGUCACUGUGACGUAUCAGGGAUGUGAGAGUCAGAAGUCUUCUUUUUGCUGAGCUUGAGGUUUCUCUGCCAUGCUGUACACCAAAUAUGCGAGAAGGCGGCUUGUUUGCUGAUCUCAGCCUCUGACCAGGGGUAUGAGAGUUGGAUGUCUUUAUUUGACGACCAAAUAACAGUUACCUCCGGAUUCGACCACCAAGUGUUGCCAAAAAACAGAGUCUCCUGUGCCCCCUCGGAUUCCCGGGCCUGUCCUCUGGGCCCCCCUGGAGUGUCCUCGCAGACCCCGGGAUUCUAGUGCCCCACGCUGCCUUGACUACACCUCGUCUCCCGGGCUCACACCUUAGCCUACACGCACACUAACAACACUUCAAACAUUCCCAUUCUGCACACAUGCACUACACUCGCUUUGCACUCAUACACAUAGUCAGUGACACAUCUCAUAUCCAGAAUUCUAGUUGCGCCAUACACAUCCCGCAAAUUCCCCUCCCUGUUCCCAAUAAACA
Lampris incognitus (smalleye Pacific opah) is the source of this 794-nucleotide long non-coding RNA. RefSeq lists it as uncharacterized. The record is from RefSeq and is a predicted model, not a curated record. NCBI's taxonomy places the organism in Eukaryota, Metazoa, Chordata, Actinopteri, Lampriformes, Lampridae. The transcript has 8 exons.